RNAcentral lists this unclassified non-coding RNA (751 nucleotides) under Hevea brasiliensis (rubber tree). The record is from RNAcentral. Lineage: Eukaryota; Viridiplantae; Streptophyta; Magnoliopsida; Malpighiales; Euphorbiaceae.
GAGUCGGAACUGAGUCAACCCGAAUUACACGAAUUGGCACUUGGGUUGGAGGUAUCAGGGUUGCCAUUCUUUUGGGUUCUAAGGAAACGGGAUAACUCGGUCGAGGUACCCAAUAGAUUCAAAGAACGAGUCGAGGGACGUGGCAUGGUGUGGACGAGUUGGGUACCUCAACUCAGAAUCUUGGGUCAUGAAUCAGUAGGAGGAUUUGUGACUCACUGUGGUUAUAGUUCAGUUAUAGAGGCACUUUACUAUGGACUUACUUUGAUUAUGUUGCCAAUCACUAUAAUAGACCAAGGGUUAAUUGCAAGAGUUUUUGGAGAGAAGAAGGUGGGUGUAGAGGUGACAAGAGAUGAGGAAGAUGGGUCUUUUGCGAGGGAAUCGGUGGCUGAGUCGCUGAGGAUGGUGAUGGUUGAAAAGGAAGGAAAAGUAUACAGAGACAAUGCAAAGGAGAUGAGCAAGUUAUUUGCAGAUAAAGAUCUUCAUGAUCGAUAUAUAGAUCAUUUUGUUGAGUUUCUGCAAAAUCAUUGAGUUGCUUGCAGGCAUUAACCCAACUUUUUUUUUCCUUUUUAAUUUUCUUAUAAAAAAAAAUGUGAUGUAAAUGUAAAUGAACUAGUAGUGUAGGGCAUGUUUUUUUUUAUUUUUUGGGUCUCAUAGUCGUUAAUGGUGGGGCUGAAUCUCUAUGUUUGAGUUGAAUUCAUCGUUCCAGUUGGGUUAAGUGUCGUUGUCAGAAUCCGAUAAGUGCUAGUGCACA